This is a long non-coding RNA of Pangasianodon hypophthalmus (striped catfish), 1020 nucleotides long. RefSeq lists it as uncharacterized. The record is from RefSeq and is a predicted model, not a curated record. The transcript is spliced from 3 exons. Lineage: Eukaryota; Metazoa; Chordata; Actinopteri; Siluriformes; Pangasiidae.
GGAGUAAAAACACAGAUGAUGGAGGGAAAGAAUUCAGAAUCACCAGAACCCAGCUGUGUGUCCAUGAAGAGUGACCGGUCAACGGACCGUCCAAUUAAUUUCAGAGACAGAGACAGUUCUACUGAUCAGAGCACUGUCAGGGUUCUAGUCCUCCCUCUCUCCUGCAUUUGGCCACAAGUUUUCAUCAACAUCACAUCUUGUAUCUUCUCUGGCGAUGCACCUUGGAAAGUAUCUUCUGGAAUGUCUACUCCAACCCUGGCAGUCUUCAGGAGAAAUGUCUCCACACCCCGCAUUCAUUGUGUCCAGUAAACACAACUGAUCAUGUGGAUGGUGGUCAUAAACUGCUCUUGGUCUUCCUCUCCUUUGUCCUUCAUGCAUUCUCCUUCUCUCUACCUGCCUCUCUCUCACCAACCUGUCUUCCUUGAUCCAUGUUUCCAAACAGAAUCAUUCCGAAGCUGUCUCCUUUUACUAAAAGAAGUUUGGAAUGAUUAUUUAUUUCAUUGUAUUGUAAAUAUUCUGCUAAGAUUUUCUGUAUAUUUCAAUAUGGCUACUGCAGAAAUGCACGAAAUUUGCCAUCAUUCUGUUUUGAAUGUGUUUUUAAACAUUUUUGAAAGCAGUGUGUUUGCAUUUGAUAAACAUGCUGCAAAUAUAUAGUGUUUUGCAGGUGGUGGAGUAUGAAUGAAAAAAGGGUUCAUGGAUUUUGGAAAAUGUGGUCACUGAAUGCAUUUUGGGUGAAAGCAAUGAAAAAUUAUUCACAGUUUGGUCCAUAUAUACUUCUGUUUCACUAACUGUGUGAAGAGUUUUGAUAUUGUGACUUCAGUUUUGACCAAUGCAUGUUAGCAAUAGAAAAAAAAAAAAACUGUAAUAUGGAGUAACUAACAUUUAAGACAAAAUAUGGCCAAAUAUUUUGCUUAUUUUUGCUCAGUGCUGUUAUAUUAAAUAUCAGAUCUCUUGGAAUGCUGUUUGUCUGAUUAAUGGACUGGAACUAACUGCUGAAUAAACACAGAUAGAUUUUGUGCA